AGGGUUAUAUUUAAUUAUAAUAUUUGAUUUGCAAUCAAAAGGUGUUAAGUAAAAUAGUAACUAACCUUU
This 69-nucleotide transfer RNA is filed under the name Cicadellidae sp. EMHAU-2015-Zz052706. RNAcentral's name for it is "tRNA-Ala". It matches the Rfam family "tRNA". Rfam says of the family: Transfer RNA (tRNA) molecules are approximately 80 nucleotides in length. The record is from RNAcentral. Lineage: Eukaryota; Metazoa; Arthropoda; Insecta; Hemiptera; Cicadellidae.